UUACCGAUCGAGCAGGUAGGAAACUAGAGCAUAGUGAUCCGGUGUUUCCGUAUGGAAGGGACAUCGCUCAAAGGAUAAAAGGUACUCCGGGGAUAACAGGCUGAUCCCUCCCAAGAGCUCAUAUCGACGGAGUGGUUUGGCACCUCGAUGUCGGCUCGUCACAUCCUGGGGCUGGAGAAGGUCCCAAGGGUUGGGCUGUUCGCCCAUUAAAGUGG
This 215-nucleotide ribosomal RNA is filed under the name Cyclophora tenuis. RNAcentral describes it as "partial Bacterial large subunit ribosomal RNA". It matches the Rfam family "Bacterial large subunit ribosomal RNA", at positions 2382 to 2596 of the family's 2925-position model. The record is from RNAcentral. Lineage: Eukaryota; Bacillariophyta; Fragilariophyceae; Cyclophorales; Cyclophoraceae.